CAGUCGCCGCGGUAAAACGUAGGUGGCAAGCGUUGUCCGGAAUUAUUGGGCGUAAAGCGCGCGCAGGCGGCCUAUCCAGUCCGUCUUAAAAGUUCGGGGCUCAACCCCGUGAUGGGAUGGAAACUAGUAGGCUAGAGUAUCGGAGAGGAAAGCGGAAUUCCUGGUGUAGCGGUGAAAUGCGUAGAUAUUAGGAAGAACACCAGUGGCGAAGGCGGCUUUCUGGACGAAAACUGACGCUGAGGCGCGAAAGCCAGGGGAGCGAACGGGAUUAGAUACCCCUGUAGUCCCUGUCUCUUAUACA
RNAcentral lists this ribosomal RNA (301 nucleotides) under uncultured bacterium. RNAcentral describes it as "partial 16S ribosomal RNA". It matches the Rfam family "Bacterial small subunit ribosomal RNA", at positions 509 to 809 of the family's 1533-position model. The record is from RNAcentral.